Molecule: non-coding RNA, 28 nt
Filed under: Homo sapiens (human)
Lineage: Eukaryota; Metazoa; Chordata; Mammalia; Primates; Hominidae
Source: RNAcentral
UNCCGGCUGCCGUGUAGGCCUCUAAGGG